AACGAACGCUGGCGGCGUGCCUAACACAUGCAAGUCGAACGUGAAAGGGCUUCGGCCUGAGUAAAGUGGCGCACGGGUGAGUAACGCGUGGGUAAUCUGCCUCUGGGCGGGGGAUAACGGGUCGAAAGACCCGCUAAUACCGCAUGAGACCACGGCCCUGUGGGGCUGUGGGAAAAGAUGGGGAUCUUCGGACCUGUCACCUGGAGAUGAGCCCGCGUACCAUUAGGUAGUUGGUGGGGUAAUGGCCCACCAAGCCGAAGAUGGUUAGCUGGUCUGAGAGGAUGAUCAGCCACACUGGAACUGAGACACGGUCCAGACUCCUACGGGAGGCAGCAGUGGGGAAUAUUGCGCAAUGGGGGAAACCCUGACGCAGCAACGCCGCGUGUGUGAUGAAGGCCUUGGUCGUAAAGCACUGUGUAGGUGGAACGAGCCGCCGGGGGUUAAUACCCGUCCGGCCCCGAC
Molecule: ribosomal RNA, 462 nt
Filed under: uncultured bacterium
Lineage: Bacteria
Description: bacterial SSU rRNA
Rfam family: Bacterial small subunit ribosomal RNA
Source: RNAcentral